RNAcentral lists this ribosomal RNA (253 nucleotides) under uncultured bacterium. RNAcentral's name for it is "partial 16S ribosomal RNA". It matches the Rfam family "Bacterial small subunit ribosomal RNA", at positions 524 to 776 of the family's 1533-position model. The record is from RNAcentral.
UCCGUAGGGUGCAAGCGUUGUCCGGAAUUAUUGGGCGUAAAGAGCUCGUAGGCGGUUUGUCGCGUCUGCUGUGAAAGCCCGGGGCUUAACUCCGGGUCUGCAUUCGAUACGGGCAGGCUAGAGUUCGGUAGGGGAGAUCGGAAUUCCUGGUGUAGCGGUGAAAUGCGCAGAUAUCAGGAGGAACACCGGUGGCGAAGGCGGAUCUCUGGGCCGAUACUGACGCUGAGGAGCGAAAGCGUGGGGAGCGAACAGG